AUGAAAGAAUAUAGAACAGUUAGGUAAGCUAACAGCUCUUUAUUAUUUUCAUCCCCAAAAAAAUAAAUACCGCUAAAUAAUUUAAGAAGAUAGAGAUCGGUUGUAUUCCUAACAGUUGCGUAUUCUUUAGAUACAAAAACCUAAAAUCACCCACCCUUUUACCAGCCGCUAGCCAUAUAUAACUUACUCUUCAACAAUUAGCAUCAUCUUUUCAUCUUUAACUUACAAACCCCUUUGAAUUUUUUUCAUCAACCGUAUGAGGUAAUUUCUACACCUCUUUUCCCCUCAAUUUCUUCUAUUGUACAAUUAUCGUCCUUCAUCCCUUCAAUUUCUCUUGAAUUUAUUCUACUUUUUUUUACAUGUCUUGCAAUUAUUAUUGGAUUGGGAUUUUGGUUGAAGAUCUGACAAUCGAUGAAGGAUUUUGUUGCUCCGAUAAUACAUAUAAUUAUCAGUGAGCAACCACAGUCGAAUUUAAUUAUACUAGUCGAAAUCAGAGGAGAAGAAAUGCUUGAAUUAAUAUCUUCACGGAGUUUUUUUUUUUUUUUGUAAGUCUCUUAUUCUUCAUUUUUUUUUUUUUGGACUUCCAUUAAAAAUGUAUAUGUACUGUUUUGAUUAAUUGAAUAUAGAGUUUGUUCUUGUAUAUAUA
Chenopodium quinoa (quinoa) is the source of this 646-nucleotide long non-coding RNA. RefSeq lists it as uncharacterized. Lineage: Eukaryota; Viridiplantae; Streptophyta; Magnoliopsida; Caryophyllales; Amaranthaceae. The transcript is spliced from 2 exons. The record is from RefSeq and is a predicted model, not a curated record.